GACAGUUCUCGGGUGAUGCACCCCAGAAUCGGGCUCCCUCCUCUCUGGUUCCAGGGGGCAUAACCUGAGAACCAUC
Molecule: non-coding RNA, 76 nt
Organism: Myotis davidii
Lineage: Eukaryota; Metazoa; Chordata; Mammalia; Chiroptera; Vespertilionidae
Source: Rfam